RNAcentral lists this long non-coding RNA (252 nucleotides) under Pelobates cultripes (western spadefoot toad). The record is from RNAcentral. Lineage: Eukaryota; Metazoa; Chordata; Amphibia; Anura; Pelobatidae.
CCAGAAUCAAUAACACGCUCUUGGACAACCACAAGGGAAACCACGACAGGGCACUGAGCAGGAUGAGAACUGGGCCUAAAUACCCCUCCUCUAGGUCUGAUAGGCUGUAACCGGCCUUUGACCCCAAAGGCAGUUAACAGAUCUCAUUUGCAUAAUUGCUGCUCAGCAAUAACCCUUCUGUGGAUUUGGUUGUUGCUCGGCACAACUUUUCCUGUGUGGACAGUAAAUGUCAUUAACCACAUUUUUGUAAGC